CCGAACCCCCUUACCCCGCUUGGUAGAUGAUGGUCAAGGAGGCUCGCAUUAAGCAGCUGGAGGCCAUGGUGGUGCCGCGACCCAUCAGCCGGGAGAGGCUGCCGCCCAUGGACGGAUUCCCGGCACCCCCACCUGCACAACCACCUCCACAACUACAACCACCGUCACAACCGCCAGGCAACGGUGCCGGCUUGGGUAACGGGUAUUCCGGGUCAGGCGCCGGCGGCGGCAUGCGGGAGAGCGGCAGUGGUAACGGCGGCGGGCCCGGACUAGGUGGUGGCGGUGGUUCGAGUGCAUCAAUUUUGACUGCGGCGGCGAUUGCGGCGUCUAUGGGGCCGGCCCCCC
This 345-nucleotide long non-coding RNA is filed under the name Volvox carteri. RNAcentral's name for it is "long non-coding RNA (VCAR_LNC001724)". The record is from RNAcentral. Lineage: Eukaryota; Viridiplantae; Chlorophyta; Chlorophyceae; Chlamydomonadales; Volvocaceae.